Molecule: long non-coding RNA, 952 nt
Organism: Arachis duranensis
Lineage: Eukaryota; Viridiplantae; Streptophyta; Magnoliopsida; Fabales; Fabaceae
Exons: 4
Source: RefSeq, a predicted model, not a curated record
UCCCUUUCAACCGCCACACACCCUUCACCCAUUCUUCCAAAAUCAAACACAACACAACACUUAGCAAUAGCAAAAAUCAACUGAGGGAAAGAAAAGAGAGGAGAGGGUGCGAGAAGGGGGGAGAGUGCGCCGGCGAGUCAUUGCCGCCGUCGUCGCUGAUGGCGGAAGAACGAGGAGAAUGUGUCGCAGAGCAGGAGGAGCUAUCCGCAUGCGCCACCAUCGCGCACCACCACCACAUCGCCGACGAAGAGGAGAGAGCGAAUCGGCCGUCCGUGAAAUCUGGCUCGCCGUCAUCCGUGCCCGCUGCCACCAUCGCACGAACCAGAGGAGGAAGAGAGCCAUCAUGUUGCGUGCGAAAGGGAGGUCGAAGCUGUUGCAUGUAGAGGAGAGGAACGGCGUCGCGGUUGGGGCUAGGAUCUUCUGCCGCCGCUGGGUUACCCACUGACAUCGCCUUUCUGAAGUUGUUAGGCCACCACGAGGAUUCGACGUGAGGAAGGGGAAACAGAAACGCAGACGGAAGAGAGAAAAGGAAGUCACCACUGCUGCUGAAUCGACAGAGCCACUCUUGCGCUACCGCAGCCAUCGUCGGAGUUCUUAGCUGCCGCCACUGCCGUUGCUGCUGUUGAAGUUUUUCGCCAUCACCGAAGCCGCUGUAGGGACAGUUCGGAGCUGCUGUCAUUGCUUCAUCUCCAUGUUUCUCCUUUGUUAAGUUCGAGUUCCGGUUGUUGCGUGUUGCGCUUAGACUUGCGGUUGCUGCUACGGAUAGUGGAUAAAGCUGAGGUUACGGCUGUUGCCGUUGGUGGCCAAGGAAAAGGGCGAGUUUCGACUUUGAGGAACUGGAUGAAGGAGCAUUAAGAAGAGUUAAACUGCGUUUAGUUUUAUAUGUUGUUGUAUUAAUUAGAUUAUUUUCUUCCCUCGUCUUUGUUAUUACAAUUUUGUAAGAGGGAUAGGA